This 429-nucleotide ribosomal RNA is filed under the name Bacteroidota bacterium. RNAcentral's name for it is "Bacteroidetes bacterium partial 16S ribosomal RNA". It matches the Rfam family "Bacterial small subunit ribosomal RNA", at positions 355 to 776 of the family's 1533-position model. Lineage: Bacteria; Pseudomonadati; Bacteroidota. The record is from RNAcentral.
UAGGGAUUCUUCCGCAAUGGACGCAAGUCUGACGGAGCAACGCCGCGUGAGUGAAGAAGGAUUUCGGUUCGUAAAACUCUGUUGUUAGAGAAGAACAGCGCAUAGAGUAACUGUUAUGCGUGUGACGGUAUCUAACCAGAAAGCCACGGCUAACUACGUGCCAGCAGCCGCGGUAAUACGUAGGUGGCAAGCGUUGUCCGGAUUUAUUGGGCGUAAAGCGAGCGCAGGCGGUCAAUUAAGUCUGAUGUGAAAGCCCCCGGCUCAACCGGGGAGGGUCAUUGGAAACUGGUUGACUUGAGUGCAGAAGAGGAGAGUGGAAUUCCAUGUGUAGCGGUGAAAUGCGUAGAUAUAUGGAGGAACACCAGUGGCGAAGGCGACUCUCUGGUCUGUAACUGACGCUGAGGCUCGAAAGCGUGGGUAGCAAACAGG